CAGGCCAUGGGAAGACAUUACCUGUUGAUAACACAGACUAUUCUCAUGAUCAUGGGAGGUGUGAGAGAAUUGCUGCUCUUUGUGAUGACUGUGGGGGUUGUCAAAGUUUCUUGUUACCCUGUUGGAAAGUCCCAGAAGCAAGAUCAAGUCUCUCUGCAGAGGAGACUUGGAGAGCUGUCAUCAAAUGACGUCUCCAUUGAGCAUGCCCUGGCCUUGCUCCGAUCCAUAGGGUCUGACGCUAAACAAGACAGAGAAGAGUAUUUAGAGACUAACGAAGUAGAAUCCCAAGCUUCUCCAAACCAUGGUAGCUCUCAGGCAAAUGAUGCCCUGUCCUCUGAGGAGAAGCUGAGGCGCAUGUCCUCUGACGACGCUGCGACUGGCCCGUCUGACGACGCUACCUCUGAAGCUGCGACUGGCCCGUCUGACGACGCUACCUCUGAAGCUGCGACUGGCCCGUCUGACGACGCUACCUCUGAAGCUGCGACUGGCCCGUCUGACGACGCUACCUCUGAAGCUGCGACUGGCCCGUCUGACGACGCUACCUCUGAAGCUGCGACUGGCCCGUCUGACGACGCUACCUCUGAAGCUGCGACUGGCCCGUCUGACGACGCUACCUCUGAAGCUGCGACUGGCCCGUCGUCUGACGACGCUACCUCUGAAGCUGCGACUGGCCCGUCUGACGACGCUACCUCUGAAGCUGCGACUGGCCCGUCGUCUGACGACGCUACCUCUGAAGCUGCGACUGGCCCGUCUGACGACGCUACCUCUGAAGCUGCGACUGGCCCCGUCUGACGACGCUACCUCUGAAGCUGCGACUGGCCCCCCGUCUGACGACGCUACCUCUGAAGCUGCGACUGGCCCGUCUGACGACGCUACCUCUGAAGCUGCGACUGGCCCGUCUGACGACGCUACCUCUGAAGCUGCGACUGGCCCCGCGUCUGACGACGCUACCUCUGAAGCUGCGACUGGCCCGUCUGACGACGCUACCUCUGAAGCUGCGACUGGCCCCGUCUGACGACGCUACCUCUGAAGCUGCGACUGGCCCGUCUGACGACGCUACCUCUGAAGCUGCGACUGGCCCGUCUGACGACGCUACCUCUGAAGCUGCGACUGGCCCGUCUGACGACGCUACCUCUGAAGCUGCGACUGGCCCGUCUGACGACGCUACCUCUGAAGCUGCGACUGGCCCGUCUGACGACGCUACCUCUGAAGCUGCGACUGGCCCGUCGUCUGACGACGCUACCUCUGAAGCUGCGACUGGCCCGUCUGACGACGCUACCUCUGAAGCUGCGACUGGCCCGUCUGACGACGCUACCUCUGAAGCUGCGACUGGCCCCGUCUGACGACGCUACCUCUGAAGCUGCGACUGGCCCGUCUGACGACGCUACCUCUGAAGCUGCGACUGGCCCGUCUGACGACGCUACCUCUGAAGCUGCGACUGGCCCGUCGUCUGACGACGCCACCUCUGAAGCUGCGACUGGCCCGUCUGACGACGCCACCUCUGAAGCUGCGACUGGCCCGUCUGACGACGCCACCUCUGAAGCUGCGACUGGCCCGUCGUCUGACGACGCUACCUCUGAAGCUGCGACUGGCCCGUCUGACGACGCUACCUCUGAAGCUGCGACUGGCCCGUCUGACGACGCUACCUCUGAAGCUGCGACUGGCCCGUCUGACGACGCUACCUCUGAAGCUGCGACUGGCCCGUCUGACGACGCUACCUCUGAAGCUGCGACUGGCCCGUCUGACGACGCUACCUCUGAAGCUGCGACUGGCCCGUCUGACGACGCUACCUCUGAAGCUGCGACUGGCCCGUCUGACGACGAAGGAAAAUUGGUAGGUUCUCUGGAAAAGAUAUGUCUCUACAUGACCAAUGAGGCCUACCCUCCUCCCCCAGCCAUUGGGAUGAACUUUGCGGGACCCCCCAUCCGAAUACUCUACCAGAUCCAGCAGAGACUGAACCAGGAACUCCAUAGCAUGGUGGUGGCCGUGGUACGCCUGAAUAGAAAGACAAACACAGUCUCAAGCAAAGUCCAGUGGUACGCCUGA
Molecule: non-coding RNA, 2046 nt
Organism: Salmo salar (Atlantic salmon)
Lineage: Eukaryota; Metazoa; Chordata; Actinopteri; Salmoniformes; Salmonidae
Source: RefSeq, a predicted model, not a curated record